Molecule: ribosomal RNA, 440 nt
Filed under: uncultured bacterium
Lineage: Bacteria
Description: partial 16S ribosomal RNA
Rfam family: Bacterial small subunit ribosomal RNA
Source: RNAcentral
CCUACGGGUGGCUGCAGUGGGGAAUAUUGCACAAUGGGGGAAACCCUGAUGCAGCGACGCCGCGUGAGUGAAGAAGUAAUUCGGUAUGUAAAGCUCUAUCAGCAGGGAAGAAAAUGACGGUACCUGAGUAAGAAGCCCCGGCUAACUACGUGCCAGCAGCCGCGGUAAUACGUAGGGGGCAAGCGUUAUCCGGAUUUACUGGGUGUAAAGGGAGCGUAGACGGCAGUGCAAGUCUGGAGUGAAAGGCCGGGGCUCAACCCCCGGACUGCUCUGGAAACUGUACGGCUGGAGUGCAGGAGAGGGAAGUGGAAUGCCUGGUGUAGCGGUGAAAUGCGUAGAUAGUAGGAGGAACACCAGUGGCGAAGGCGGCUUACUGGACUGUAACUGACGUUGAGGCUCGAAAGCGUGGGGAGCAAACAGGAUUAGAUACCCUAGUAGUC